Molecule: non-coding RNA, 73 nt
Organism: Parelaphostrongylus tenuis
Lineage: Eukaryota; Metazoa; Nematoda; Chromadorea; Rhabditida; Metastrongylidae
Source: the annotation of a GenBank genome assembly
GCGUCGGUGGUGCAACGGUUUAGCACAUAUUUCGGGAAAGAUUAAGAUCUGAGUUUGAAUCCCGGCUGACGCA